Molecule: ribosomal RNA, 253 nt
Filed under: uncultured bacterium
Lineage: Bacteria
Description: partial 16S ribosomal RNA
Rfam family: Bacterial small subunit ribosomal RNA
Source: RNAcentral
GACGGAGGAUGCAAGUGUUAUCCGGAAUCACUGGGCGUAAAGCGUCUGUAGGUGGUCAAAUAAGUCAACUGUUAAAUCUUGAGGCUCAACCUCAAAAUCGCAGUCGAAACUAUUCGACUAGAGUAUAGUAGGGGUAAAGGGAAUUUCCAGUGGAGCGGUGAAAUGCGUAGAGAUUGGAAAGAACACCGAUGGCGAAGGCACUUUACUGGGCUAUUACUAACACUGAGAGACGAAAGCUAGGGUAGCAAGUGGG